GAUUAACGCUGGCGGCGUGCAUAACACAUGCAAGUCGAACGAUGAGACUUUAAUGAACCCUUCGGGGAGAAUUAAAGCGGAUUAGUGGCGAACGGGUGAGUAACGCGUGAGUAACCUGCCUUACACAAGGGGAUAGCCUUUGGAAACGAAGAAUAAUACCCUAUAAAACCAUAAAAGCACAUGCAAUUAUGGUCAAAGUGAUAGAGGUGUAAGAUGGACUUGCGUCUGAUUAGCUAGUUGGUGAGAUAAAAGCCCACCAAGGCAACGAUCAGUAGCCGGCUUGAGAGAGUGUACGGCCACAUUGGGACUGAGACACGGCCCAGACUCCUACGGGAGGCAGCAGUGGGGAAUUUUGCACAAUGGGGGAAACCCUGAUGCAGCGACGCCGCGUGAUUUAGAAGGCCUUCGGGUUGUAAAAAUCUUUUGUAUAGGAAGAAAAUGACAGUACUAUACGAAUAAGGUCCGGCUAAUUACGUG
RNAcentral lists this ribosomal RNA (477 nucleotides) under uncultured bacterium. Its description in RNAcentral is "partial 16S ribosomal RNA". It matches the Rfam family "Bacterial small subunit ribosomal RNA", at positions 28 to 507 of the family's 1533-position model. The record is from RNAcentral.